GACGAACGCUGGCGGCGUGCUUAACACAUGCAAGUCGUACGGUAAGGCCCUUUCGGGGGUACACGAGUGGCGAACGGGUGAGUAACACGUGAGUAACCUGCCCACAACUUUUGGAUAACGCUAGGAAACUGGUGCUAAUACUGGAUAUGUGCUCCUGCUGCAUGGUGGGGGUUGGAAAGCUCCGGCGGUUGUGGAUGGACUCGCGGCCUAUCAGCUUGUUGGUGGGGUAGUGGCCUACCAAGGCGGCGACGGGUAGCCGGCCUGAGAGGGUGACCGGCCACAUUGGGACUGAGAUACGGCCCAGACUCCUACGGGAGGCAGCAGUGGGGAAUAUUGCACAAUGGGCGCAAGCCUGAUGCAGCAACGCCGCGUGCGGGAUGACGGCCUUCGGGUUGUAAACCGCUUUCAGCAGGGACGAAGCUUUUUGUGACGGUACCUGCAGAAGAAGCACCGGCUAACUACGUG
Molecule: ribosomal RNA, 465 nt
Filed under: uncultured bacterium
Lineage: Bacteria
Description: partial 16S ribosomal RNA
Rfam family: Bacterial small subunit ribosomal RNA
Source: RNAcentral